RNAcentral lists this unclassified non-coding RNA (232 nucleotides) under Ambisporaceae sp. RNAcentral describes it as "partial internal transcribed spacer 2". The stretch from base 1 to 71 matches the Rfam family "5.8S ribosomal RNA", at positions 84 to 154 of the family's 154-position model. Lineage: Eukaryota; Fungi; Glomeromycota; Glomeromycetes; Archaeosporales; Ambisporaceae. The record is from RNAcentral.
GUGAAUCAUCAAAUUUUUGAACGCAUAUUGCACUCUCUUGGAUGCCGGAGAGUAUGCCUAUGUGAGGGUAAAUUGAAAUAAUAUAAAUGCCAAGAUUUCUCGGAGUUUAAAAUGGGUUGGCCAUUUUUGUGGUCGCGUAAAAUCCAAGACAAGCUCAUUUUCUUGGUUUGCUUGAUACUUUCAGGUACUUCUUGACUUAACCAGGAAUCAUCGGGUGUGUUAUGAAUUUUUC